UCCCUGGUGGUUCAAUGGCUGGGACUCUGAGCUCCCAAUGCAGGGGGCCCAGGUUAAAUCCCUGGUCAGGGGG
This 73-nucleotide transfer RNA is filed under the name Capra hircus (goat). It matches the Rfam family "tRNA". Rfam says of the family: Transfer RNA (tRNA) molecules are approximately 80 nucleotides in length. Their secondary structure includes four short double-helical elements and three loops (D, anti-codon, and T loops). The record is from Rfam by way of RNAcentral. Lineage: Eukaryota; Metazoa; Chordata; Mammalia; Artiodactyla; Bovidae. RNAcentral also lists the same sequence under 1 other name.